This 460-nucleotide ribosomal RNA is filed under the name uncultured bacterium. RNAcentral describes it as "partial 16S ribosomal RNA". It matches the Rfam family "Bacterial small subunit ribosomal RNA", at positions 338 to 795 of the family's 1533-position model. The record is from RNAcentral.
CCUACGGGCGGCAGCAGUGAGGAAUAUUGGUCAAUGGACGAGAGUCUGAACCAGCCAAGUAGCGUGAAGGAUGACUGCCCUAUGGGUUGUAAACUUCUUUUAUAAAGGAAUAAAACGAGGCACGUGUGCCUUUUUGCAUGUACUUUAUGAAUAAGGAUCGGCUAACUCCGUUCCAGCAGCCGCGGUAAUACGGAGGAUCCGAGCGUUAUCCGGAUUUAUUGGGUUUAAAGGGAGCGUAGAUGGGUUGUUAAGUCAGUUGUGAAAGUUUGCGGCUCAACCGUAAAAUUGCAAUUGAUACUGGCAGUCGUGAGUACAGUUGAGGUAGGCGGAAUUCGUGGUGUAGCGGUGAAAUGCUUAGAUAUCACGAAGAACCCCGAUUGCGAAGGCAGCUUACUAAACUGUGACUGACAUUGAUGCUCGAAAGUGUGGGUAUCAAACAGGAUUAGAUACCCUGGUAGUC